RNAcentral lists this ribosomal RNA (329 nucleotides) under uncultured eukaryote. RNAcentral's name for it is "partial 18S ribosomal RNA". It matches the Rfam family "Eukaryotic small subunit ribosomal RNA", at positions 1470 to 1796 of the family's 1831-position model. The record is from RNAcentral.
CCCUUAGAUGUUCUGGGCUGCACGCGUGCUACACUGAUAUUGCCAAUAUGUCAUUCUUAUCCGAAAUGGAUUGGGUAAUCAAGUAAUGAAAUUUCAUGCUUGGAAUCGGUAAUUGCAAUUUUAUCGUGAACGAGGAAUUCCUAGUAAGCACUAGUCAUCAGCUAAUGUUGAUUACGUCCCUGCCCUUUGUACACACCGCCCGUCGCUACUACCGAUUGAAUGGUUUAGUGAGAUCUUCGGAUUGGCGCCACUGCGGCUCAGCAAUGGGCUCGGUGGAUGCCGAAAAGUUGAUCAAACUUGAUCAUUUAGAGGAAGUAAAAGUCGUAACA